AAUAUUUGCUUUCGUUGAUAAAUAUCUUUGGUUGAUUUUGGUUGAACACAAAGAGUUUAAUACUGAAAUUUUUUCUUCAAAACGGUCUUCUUUCAAAGUAAAAAAAAGAGAAAGUCUUUUUAAAAGUCGCAUAACGGAAACAGUGUUUUUUUUUUAAAUAGACGGUGCUUUGAUUAACAGGCACUGGUUGAGCAAGAAAAACAUGGACUACUGCUUUGUCAUUCGUUUAGUGAUGAUUAAUUGUUAUUGGAAUGAGCGUCAUACAGUUUAAGGACAUGACUAUGUGUAUUUAAACCGCUACCGUUCUUAUGCAAGAGAAAAUAUAAUCCAACCAAAAAUAACCAACAGGAUAGGAAGCAAGUACCUACUCCUAUAACGCAAAAAAAGAAAAAGAAAACAACAGUUGUUUUAGAAAGAAAAGAUUUUGAAUGUUUUU
Non-coding RNA from Hydra vulgaris (swiftwater hydra), 436 nucleotides. NCBI's taxonomy places the organism in Eukaryota, Metazoa, Cnidaria, Hydrozoa, Anthoathecata, Hydridae. The record is from RefSeq and is a predicted model, not a curated record.